ACGGAAUAGGUGUCUUUUUAAAACAAGACUUAAUUGGGAAGUUGGUUGAAAUCCAACGCGGUCCCGCCACUGUAAAUGGGAGCAACCUGCAUAUCCACUGUACUUUGUUGUAUGGGAAGGAGCAGGAAGCGAUGAUCAUGAGCCAGGAGACCUGCCUGUUU
Molecule: non-coding RNA, 161 nt
Filed under: Bacillus tuaregi
Lineage: Bacteria; Bacillati; Bacillota; Bacilli; Caryophanales; Bacillaceae
Source: RNAcentral